GCUAAAGCUGGACUGCAGUAAGCAAUGGGAAGAGGAGCGGCAGGUGAAGAUAGAGAGGCAGCCAGUGCCAGAUCCUUCAGUGCCUCGAAGUUAAGAUGAAGCCAAAGCAGACGAGGAACAGGAUCAGAUUUACCUCUUAAGAUGUUCUGUCUGGCUGCAGUGUGGACAUAUGGAACAGGAAAUGAAAACUAUGUGGAUGUUGAGCACCAGGGUUCUCACUGCAGGAGAAGGAAGAUAUAUGUAUAAAAUGUGUUGAAUUUGAAUCAGUAUGAGCUCAUGACUUAAAACAAAAAUAAAUUAUACUCCCUAGCUCUACCUACUGAAAGAACCUACAGGCAAUAACGCAUCACCGAGCACACCUAAGAUGUAUAUCUUAGUGCCAAAAUACCACUCCCCAUUGAAAGCAACCACAAAUCCCUAAUAAGUGGUUGGCCUCAGGUCUGGGGCAGGGACAUUAAAAGAAUAGUCUAGAAUAUUUUUGUUGUGCCAGAAGCAAGGAAGACUAAUGAGAACAUGUCAAAAGGACCUGGGAAUCAGCUUGAAGAGACUGCCACUGGCCAUAUUUGAGGCAAUUUGAGCAUCACAGAGAAUGGCAGUAGAGGAUUUCAAUACACGGAGUCAAAAAUGAUCUAUGAAUCAACAGGGAGACCAAAAACAGGGAGGAAGAUGAAGAGAGAAACAACUCUUCUCUAAAGAAGAAGGCUAACUAGUAAGCGUAGGGAGAAUUAUAGAUGUUUAAAUCACCCUUUUGUAAGCACCAACGUAAUAACUGGUUCAGGUGAAGACUCUCAGGACGUGUUAAAACCAUUGAGUGAAAGCUUUAGGGGAAUACAAUACUCAUUCCAUCUCAAAGUUUCACUCCAAGGAUACUUUACAAAAGAAAAAAGGUGCCACAUUUACAGUGGAGGGACCGGGCAGUUCUUGUCUUAUCUAAGUGACCAUAUGUGACAUCAUCAGUACUGGGACUCCCUGACAUUAUGAACUUCUUGACAAAAUACAAUGAGAAAUAUACAUCGCCAACAUAAUGGUUUUGCCAAAGAUAUACGGAACCCUGGUUCUGUCACAUAGAAUCAGGUUAAAUAUUAUUAGAAAUGUAA
RNAcentral lists this long non-coding RNA (1097 nucleotides) under Homo sapiens (human). RNAcentral describes it as "HSALNT0267443". Lineage: Eukaryota; Metazoa; Chordata; Mammalia; Primates; Hominidae. The record is from RNAcentral.